UAAUGGCUCACCAAGGCUUCCGAUCCGUAACUGGUCUGAGAGGAUGAUCAAGUCACACUGGAACUUGAGACACGGUCCAAGACUCCUACGGGAGGCAGCAGUGGGGAAUAUUGGACAAUGGGCGAAAGCCUUGAUCCCAAGCCAUGCCGCGUGUGUGAAGAAGGUCUUCGGAUUGUAAAGCACUUUAAGUUGGGAGGAAGGGUACUUACCUAAUACGUGAGUAUUUUGACGUUACCGACAGAAUAAGCACCGGCUAACUCUGUGCCAGCAGCCGCGGUAAUACAGAGGGUGCAAGCGUUAAUCGGAAUUACUGGGCGUAAAGCGCGCGUAGGUGGUUUGUUAAGUUGGAUGUGAAAGCCCCUGGGCUCAACCUGGGAACUGCAUCCAAAACUGGCAAGCUAGAGUAUGGUAGAGGGUGGUGGAAUUUCCUGUGUAGCGGUGAAAUGCGUAGAUAUAGGAAGGAACACCAGUGGCGAAGCGACCACCUGGACUGAUACGU
This 499-nucleotide ribosomal RNA is filed under the name Pseudomonas sp. Z86. RNAcentral describes it as "bacterial SSU rRNA". It matches the Rfam family "Bacterial small subunit ribosomal RNA", at positions 258 to 742 of the family's 1533-position model. Lineage: Bacteria; Pseudomonadati; Pseudomonadota; Gammaproteobacteria; Pseudomonadales; Pseudomonadaceae. The record is from RNAcentral.